UGGGGAAUCUUCCGCAAUGGACGAAAGUCUGACGGAGCAACGCCGCGUGAGUGAUGACGGCCUUCGGGUUGUAAAGCUCUGUUAAUCGGGACGAAUGGUUCUUGUGCAAAUAGUGCGAGGAUUUGACGGUACCGGAAUAGAAAGCCACGGCUAACUACGUGCCAGCAGCCGCGGUAAUACGUAGGUGGCAAGCGUUGUCCGGAAUUAUUGGGCGUAAAGCGCGCGCAGGCGGAUUGGUCAGUCUGUCUUAAAAGUUCGGGGCUUAACCCCGUGAUGGGAUGGAAACUGCCAAGCUAGAGUAUCGGAGAGGAAAGUGGAAUUCCUAGUGUAGCGGUGAAAUGCGUAGAUAUUAGGAAGAACACCAGUGGCGAAGGCGACUUUCUGGACGAAAACUGACGCUGAGGCGCGAAAGCCAGGGGAGCGAACGGG
This 429-nucleotide ribosomal RNA is filed under the name bacterium. RNAcentral's name for it is "partial 16S ribosomal RNA". It matches the Rfam family "Bacterial small subunit ribosomal RNA", at positions 355 to 776 of the family's 1533-position model. The record is from RNAcentral.